UUCCGGUUGAUCCUGCCGGAGGCUACCGCUAUUGGAGUUCGAUUAAGCCAUGCGAGUCGCGAGAAAUUAGAUUCUCGGCGUACCGCUCAGUAACACGUGGGUAACCUGCCCUAUGCUGGAUAAUAACCUCGGGAAACUGAGAAUAAUGAUCCAUAGUUCACUACGCCUGGAACGGUGAGUGGAUGAAAGCUCCGGCGGCAUAGGAUGGGCCUGCGGCGUAUCAGGUUGUAGGGGGUGUAACGUACCCUCUAGCCCUCUACGCGUACGGGUGUUGGGAGACAUAGCCCGGAGAUGGAUUCUGAGACACGAAUCCAGACCCUACGGGGUGCAGCAGGCGCGAAAACUUGGCAAUGCGAGCAAUCGUGACCAGGGAACUCCAAGUGGCUGGGGUAAGACCCAGUCUUUUCAGAACUCUUCAAAGGUUUUAGAAUAAGGGGUGGGUAAGGACGGUGCCAGCCGCCGCGGUAAUACCGGCGCCUCAAGUGGUAGUCGCUUUUAUUGGGCCUAAAACGUCCGUAGCCGGUUUGGUACAUUCGUGGGUAAAUCAACUCGCUCAACGAGUUGAAUUCUGCGAGGACGGCCAGACUUGGGACCGGGAGAGGUGUGGGGUACUCUCAGGGUAGGGGUAAAAUCCUGUCAUCCUGAGAGGACCACCUGUUGCGAAGGCGCCACACUAGAACGGAUCCGACGGUCAGGGACGAAGCCUAGGGGCACGAACCGGAUUAGAUACCCGGGUAGUCCUAGGUGUAAACGCUGUGGACUUGAUGUUGGAGGAGCUCCGAGCACUCUCAGUGUCGAAGCGAAGGUGAUAAGUCCACUGCCUGGGAAGUACGGUCGCAAGGCUGAAACUUAAAGGAAUUGGCGGGGGAGCACCGCAACCUGAGGAUUGUGCGGUUUAAUUGGAUUCAACGCCGG
RNAcentral lists this ribosomal RNA (915 nucleotides) under uncultured marine archaeon. Its description in RNAcentral is "bacterial SSU rRNA". It matches the Rfam family "Archaeal small subunit ribosomal RNA", at positions 1 to 921 of the family's 1478-position model. The record is from RNAcentral.